Molecule: ribosomal RNA, 744 nt
Filed under: uncultured bacterium
Lineage: Bacteria
Description: bacterial SSU rRNA
Rfam family: Bacterial small subunit ribosomal RNA
Source: RNAcentral
AGAGUUUGAUCAUGGCUCAGAGCGAACGCUGGCGGCAGGCUUAACACAUGCAAGUCGAGCGGGCUCUUUCGGGGGUCAGCGGCAGACGGGUGAGUAACACGUGGGAACGUGCCCUUUGGUUCGGAACAACUCCGGGAAACUGGAGCUAAUGCCGGAUACGCCCUUCGGGGGAAAGAUUUAUCGCCAAAGGAUCGGCCCGCGUCUGAUUAGCUAGUUGGUGGGGUAAUGGCCUACCAAGGCGACGAUCAGUAGCUGGUCUGAGAGGAUGAUCAGCCACACUGGGACUGAGACACGGCCCAGACUCCUACGGGAGGCAGCAGUGGGGAAUAUUGGACAAUGGGCGCAAGCCUGAUCCAGCCAUGCCGCGUGAGUGAUGAAGGCCUUAGGGUUGUAAAGCUCUUUCACCCACGACGAUAAUGACGGUAGUGGGAGAAGAAGCCCCGGCUAACUUCGUGCCAGCAGCCGCGGUAAUACGAAGGGGGCUAGCGUUGCUCGGAAUCACUGGGCGUAAAGGGCGCGUAGGCGGAUUGUUAAGUCAGAGGUGAAAGCCCAGGGCUCAACCCUGGAAUUGCCUUUGAUACUGGCAAUCUUGAGACCGGAAGAGGUUAGUGGAACUGCGAGUGUAGAGGUGAAAUUCGUAGAUAUUCGCAAGAACACCAGUGGCGAAGGCGGCUGACUGGUCCGGUUCUGACGCUGAGGCGCGAAAGCGUGGGGAGCAAACAGGAUUAGAUACCCUAGUAGUCC